UGAACGCUGGCGGCGUGCUUAACACAUGCAAGUCGCACGAGAACACCGAACUUCGGUUUGGUAAGUAAAGUGGCGCACGGGUGAGUAACGCGUGGGUAAUCUACCCUUGAAUUUGGGAUAACAUUGCGAAAGCGAUGCUAAUACCGGAUGAAGUCGUAUUUACUUAGGUAGGUAUGAUGAAAGAUGGCCUCUACAUGUAAGCUAUUGUUUGAGGAUGAGCCCGCGUACCAUUAGCUAGUUGGUGGGGUAACGGCUUACCAAGGCAUCGAUGGUUAGCUGGUCUGAGAGGAUGAUCAGCCACACCGGAACUGACACACGGUCCGGACUCCUACGGGAGGCAGCAGUGAGGAAUUUUGCGCAAUGGGGGAAACCCUGACGCAGCAACGCCGCGUGAGUGAUGAAGGCCUUCGGGUCGUAAAGCUCUGUCAAGUGGGAAGAACCCUGUGUAUAAUAAAAUGUACAUGGCUGACGGUACCACUGAAGGAAGCACCGGCUAACUCC
This 501-nucleotide ribosomal RNA is filed under the name uncultured bacterium. RNAcentral describes it as "bacterial SSU rRNA". It matches the Rfam family "Bacterial small subunit ribosomal RNA", at positions 30 to 504 of the family's 1533-position model. The record is from RNAcentral.